Molecule: ribosomal RNA, 468 nt
Filed under: uncultured bacterium
Lineage: Bacteria
Description: partial 16S ribosomal RNA
Rfam family: Bacterial small subunit ribosomal RNA
Source: RNAcentral
GACGAACGCUGGCGGCGUGCUUAACACAUGCAAGUCGAACGGAAAGGCCCUGCUUUUGUGGGGUGCUCGAGUGGCGAACGGGUGAGUAACACGUGAGUAACCUGCCCUUGACUUUGGGAUAACUUCAGGAAACUGGGGCUAAUACCGGAUAGGAGCUCCUGCUGCAUGGUGGGGGUUGGAAAGUUUCGGCGGUUGGGGAUGGACUCGCGGCUUAUCAGCUUGUUGGUGGGGUAGUGGCUUACCAAGGCUUUGACGGGUAGCCGCCCUGAGAGGGUGACCGGCCACAUUAGGACUGAGAUACUGCCCAGACUCCUACGGGAGGCAGCAGUGGUGAAUAUUGCACAAUGGGCGGAGGCCUGAUGCAGCAACGCCGCGUGCGGGAUGACGGCCUUCGGGUUGUAAACCGCUUUCGCCUGUGACGAAGCGUGAGUGACGGUAAUGGGUAAAGAAGCACCGGCUAACUACGUG